GCGAUACCAUGAGAGUCGAGCGGUGAUCAGGGGUAGCUUGCUACCCGCUGACGAGCGGCGGACGGGUGAGUAAUGCAUAGGAAUCUGCCCGGUAGUGGGGGAUAACCUGGGGAAACCCAGGCUAAUACCGCAUACGUCCUACGGGAGAAAGGGGGCUUCGGCUCCCGCUAUUGGAUGAGCCUAUGUCGGAUUAGCUAGUUGGUGAGGUAAUGGCUCACCAAGGCGACGAUCCGUAGCUGGUCUGAGAGGAUGAUCAGCCACAUCGGGACUGAGACACGGCCCGAACUCCUACGGGAGGCAGCAGUGGGGAAUAUUGGACAAUGGGCGCAAGCCUGAUCCAGCCAUGCCGCGUGUGU
Molecule: ribosomal RNA, 356 nt
Rfam family: Bacterial small subunit ribosomal RNA